GAAGGAGAAAGUCCCGCCAAGGGAUGAGUAAAGUGGCGCACGGGUGAGUAACACGUAGGUAACCUGCCUUCCAGUGGGGGAUAACCUGGGGAAACUCGGGCUAAUACCGCAUAACAUCCGGGUUGCACAAGCAGCUUGGAGCAAAGGCCCGCAAGGCCCGCUGGAGGAGGGGGCUGCGGCCGAUUAGCUAGUUGGUGAGGUAAUGGCCUACCAAGGCUAAGAUCGGUAGCCGGCCUGAGAGGGCACACGGCCACACUGGCACUGAAACACGGGCCAGACUCCUACGGGAGGCAGCAGUGGGGAAUCUUGCACAAUGGGGGAAACCCUGAUGCAGCGACGCCGCGUGAGCGAUGAAGCCCUUACGGGGUGUAAAGCUCUUUCGGCAGGGAAGAUGAUGACGGUACCUGCAGAAGCAGCUGCGGCUAACUACGUG
Molecule: ribosomal RNA, 433 nt
Filed under: uncultured bacterium
Lineage: Bacteria
Description: bacterial SSU rRNA
Rfam family: Bacterial small subunit ribosomal RNA
Source: RNAcentral